Haliotis rubra (blacklip abalone) is the source of this 3767-nucleotide RNA transcript. RefSeq lists it as uncharacterized. Lineage: Eukaryota; Metazoa; Mollusca; Gastropoda; Lepetellida; Haliotidae. The transcript is spliced from 5 exons. The record is from RefSeq and is a predicted model, not a curated record.
CAGCCUCCAUUCGACAGAACCCUGAUGGCAGAGCGAAGCAGGAACGAAACUCGUGAGGGUGAGGGUAAGUUCAGCUGUGCAAGAUGCUAUCAAGUCACAUAACCCACGAUUAGCUUGAACCUUUAUGUUAACAGCAUCACUAACGCAAGUCUAGCUCCAACGUUUGAAUAUAAUGCUCAGCCGGUGUUGAAGAAGUGCUUGUGAUGCACAGCUAUGAUACCACCUUUGAAAACUAAUCCUGAUCCUGUAUCGUAGAGGUGACAGUUUUCAGCCGAUGCCAUUUCUGGUACAGCUGGUAACGUUGCCCUGAAUGUGUAUGUCAUCUUUUGCGUGGUGCAGUGCAUCGUCAUGAUAAUCACAGGUGCGGUGUACUUCGACAACUGCCCAGGCAACAUCAUCCUAAACAUCUAUCUGAUCGUGCACGGUGUCCUCCUCCUCAGCAUCCCAGUCCUGCUGUGGAGUGUGUUCCGAUGUGGCUGUAAGAUGAAGAAAGUAAACUACUACACUGCGUGUGUCACAGCAGGAAUUGUGUGCACUGGCUGGUUAAUCGCAGGAAGUAGUUUUCUCGCCGUUGCCGAAUGCAAGUCAUCCACCGUAUACAGGAUCUCCCUCGGGUUCAAUGUUGUAACAUGGUUGUUUUAUGGAAUCUGCAUUCCUAUUUUAUGUUGGGUUCGUUAUUGCACAGGGAGGGAGUGAGUUAAAAGAUAAACCCCCUUCAGGAUAUAGCCACGAAAUAUCUUAGCUGCUAAUUUAUUCUACCGAUUAUAAAAUAUCAUUUAUCUAUUCACAAAACAUAUUUUUCAAUCAACUGUAUUUCUUUUUAAAAACUCAAUGAUUAAAUGAUAAUUCACUUUACUAAAAGGAUCCUUCACAGUUUUGACACUGAAAUUCUCAUCCCUUGUAUGAACAAAAUCAAUACAGUCAAACAGAACAUGCUUGACCGUGAUUCUUUCAUCACAAGGGAUAGAAAACGGAUGAUCCUCACCUUUUAAUAACUAUUCAUGUGUAUGGCCUAUCCGACAUCGUCGCAUGAUGACCUGCUCAAAUCUGGACUGACCACCCAAGUAGUUGUAACCGAUAGUUUCUUAAAUUUGAUGCAAUUUAUUUAUGCCUAUUUGGGUGUCCCACUUCCUGUGAUGUAAGUUGUGAUGUUAGCUUUGUAAUCAGAGUGUAGAAUAAGAAGUGGUGUCACAGAUUUGCUGAGUGCUGCCUUAGCAGUAAAGUUGGCCUUUGUAUUACCAGAAAUGCCAUCGUGCCUGGGUAACCAACAGAGUAGGGGUGAAACGGUAUACCACGGUAUUAGUUGAACGCUGUAGUUUGUCUUCGGUAAGGUAUACCGUAUUGCAAUCGGAAAAAAUGUUUGUUCGCUUUACCUACCGUCAUUUUAUUGCUCAUUUUAAACCUUUACUAAAAUGUCUAGAAAUCGAAUCAGUUGGUCAAAAUGUAUGCAUUUCUUUGCUUGACAGCCGCUAUUAUCCUUGAAGUAAGUUCGAGAUCGCCUUAUGUCGUCUACUUACAAAGUCAGCAAGACAGCAACUGCAGAUACCAAAUCACUAGAUGAUUUCUUUUUCUUUUUCAGUUAUUUCAAAUCAGACGAACUGCGAAACAGCGUAAUAACUUAUUGCAGUCAACUUUAUCAUAAAUACACGCCAUCAGCUGAGUACUUACGAUGUUUGCUGUGAUGCAAUACACCGUGUUAUAGCGUGGGUAAACACUGCCAUCCGAAAACGUAUGAUGUUAGAAAACACAUUAUAAAAGAUCUUCCUCGAUUUCAUUUUAUUUGAUUAAAUUUAAUGCCAUUUUCAUUGUUAAAACUGUUUACAGUAACGUGGGAGAAAACGUGUGUGAAAUGGCACCACCUCAUUCUAUACGCGUACCACUUCCGCUUACCCUGUUCAGAAGGGUCCACUUUUCACUCCCUCCAUGAUAGCACCAAAUUCACAUUAUUCUCAGCAAUCACGAACAGAUUACCACCUCGUCAUCAAUGGACCCAAGACCCGCGUUAUUGACAUAUUUCACAAUUAAUUUCCAAUAUUUUGUUUUUACAAUCGAAGUGGCAGGUACCGCAGGAAGUCAACGGUGACUUGUCAAAGUGUCUCAUACGUAAAAUGUAUCCAGCCACUUAACCCAAAGUUUAAUUAUUAUGUUAAAUACGUUCGAAGAAAACAUACAUAAAAUACUAAUACCAUAGCGAUAUAUACUGGUAUUAUCUCCGUUAGAAUAACUGCUUGAAACAUAAAUUAUUCUGGUAAUGGAAUAGAAAUACUUUCAUGUUAUAUUUUCAGGUCGUCUUGAACUGAAUCACCAGUAGACUGGAGCAAAACAUGAGUACACAGCUGAUUGUUAUUUCCGGCUUAGUUAAAAAAACAGGUAGCAUAACAGGAAGGACAACUGAAUUAUCGUGUCUAGUGUUGUUAAUGUUUUUACCUCGGACGAUACGAUGUAGUUUUGACUGGGCACAAAACACGAAAUAGUAGUUCAGUAAUGUCCAUGGAAAAUGCAUUUUUACUUGGCCUUUAUUCCGUGUUAUGUAUAACGCGGGUGUCUCAUAACUCGGGGCUAAUCCAUCGGCCCAAAGACCGGCGUUAUGGCGAGGGAUAACUGGAAUUAUGUGUAUGGAUCUGGUGGCUUUCCCCUUCACAGUUCUUAAGCUUUAUAUUUGUUUGUUGUUGCCACCAUCUCAUUGCAAGCUAUAUCAGAUCAAUGAACAUUUAACGACCGACAAAAAGAGAGGCAGCUUUCUCAAGCUAAAACACAUUGGUUUCAGAAAGCAGAAUACAUUUCUUAGUGAACUUUAAUAGAUAUUUUAAAUGAAUCUUAAAAGUGAACAAAACAAAAUUCUGGAAUGUGCCAAGGUUGUGUAGCAGUACUUCCCAGGGACUGUGGAAAGUCUCCCUAUGUUUAACCGACUGAAAUGAGAGAUAGGCAAUGAUUUAAAGCAAUGACAAUCAUUUGUCACACAGACUGUAACUGCCUUAUGAAAACUGUGUUUAGUUAAUUUGUUUAUAAAAUUUAUCUGUGAUAUGUCAUCAACAGUCACAUUCGACAAGAUCUGAUUUGUCUAUUGUUUUAGCGUUUUUUAUAAAAAUGAACAUUUCUGGGACGUGGUGACUUUACUGACUGCAGUAAAUGCUGAUGUGAUUUUAGUGACUUUUAAUCAUACUUGGCUACUUCCUAUCUUGCCACACAGCUGGGAGCCCCAAGGUUCCAGUGAUACUUUAGUUCUUCUAUCUUGUAAUGAAAUGACAUGUUUGUUCAUUCAAAAUAACAAAGAUAAUGGUUAUUUGUUUCUCAUGUUAUUAAACAAUGUAAGGUUUGCCUCUUGUCAAUUAUGAGAAUGUCUCAUAUACCGAAAUAUACCUUGUACCGCAAUACGUACCGUACCGUGGUAAGAGCGUACCGUUUCACCCCUUUAACAGAGGACGAUGUCGUAAUGGCCAGUAGCAAGAUAAGUAUUUCAUUCAACAAUUUCAAUUAAAAGUGAAUGGUUGCAAGAGAUAUUUUUAAUAGCAUGAAGGCAAGAAAGAGAGUCAAAAAAUAGGAUAUAAUGGUUAUGUUUGGGGUAUCUUUGAAUAUAUUUAAGGGCCGUUAAUAUGUUGUUUUUUUGCUUUUUUCUUCUGCUGUAAAAUAGAGCUAUAUCCACCAUCCUAGGAUCCAUCUGUAAAUAAUGGGUGAGUGUGUUAAUGUGUUAAGCCAUAUCGUGACUAAAAAAAGUUCAUAAUGGAUAAAGGUAAAUUUUAUAACCUUGUCAACGAAGAACAGUAAAA